Non-coding RNA from Epinephelus lanceolatus (giant grouper), 278 nucleotides. Lineage: Eukaryota; Metazoa; Chordata; Actinopteri; Perciformes; Serranidae. The record is from RefSeq and is a predicted model, not a curated record.
CCAGGUUCCAGGUGAUUUAAGCCAGACGUCGGAUGACCCCAGCCUGUCAGAUUUUGAGACGGCUCAUCGCGCUCUCAUCAAUGUGUGGAUCCCCUCUGUGUUCCUGCAGGGCAGAGCUGCCAAUGCCUACCAUGUCUACCAGGUGUACAUCCGUAUCCUGGACAAUGAGUGGAAUGUGUACAGGCGCUACACCGAGUUCAGGGAGCUCCACAACCACCUGAGGACCCAGUUUCCACAGGUGGACGCCUUCAACUUUCCACCCAAGAAAGCCAUAGGGA